Molecule: ribosomal RNA, 305 nt
Filed under: Lobophyllia vitiensis
Lineage: Eukaryota; Metazoa; Cnidaria; Anthozoa; Scleractinia; Lobophylliidae
Description: eukaryotic LSU rRNA
Rfam family: Eukaryotic large subunit ribosomal RNA
Source: RNAcentral
UUAAUAAGCGGAGGAAAAGAAACUAACAAGGAUUCCCUCAGUAACGGCGAGUGAAGCGGGAGGAGCUCAAAUUUGAAAUCUCCGAUGCUUGCAUCGGCGAGUUGUAAUUGCGAGAAGCACUUUCUAGGCGGAUCGGUGGUGCCUAAGUUGCUUGGAACAGCACGUCGCAGAGGGUGACAACCCCGUCUGUGGCGCAACCGGCCGCUGACGAUGUGCUUUCGAAGAGUCGGGUUGUUUGGGAAUGCAGCCCAAAAUGGGUGGUAAACUCCAUCUAAAGCUAAAUACUGGCGUGAGACCGAUAGCGA